AGCAGGACAGGUCGUCGCUGCGCCGUUCUCCAUGCGGGAAUGGCGGGGAGGAAAGUCCGGGCUUCAGAGGGCAGAGUGCUGGAUAACGUCCAGGAGGAGUGAUCCUCGGAGAGCGCCACAGAAAGCAAACCGCCACCUCCGGGUGGUAAGGGUGAAACGGUGGAGUAAGAGACCACCAGUCGGUACGGUGACGUAUCGAGCUAGGCAAGCCCCAUUCGAAGCAAGACCAAAUAGGGAAGCGGGUCGGCCCGGCCAACGCUUCCGGGUAGGUUGCUUGAGGGUGCAGGCAACUGCACUCCUAGAGGAAUGACGACCACCUGCUGUGGCAGUGCGCCGCAGCAGGGACAAAACCCGGCUUACAGUUCAGCUCC
Molecule: RNase P RNA, 371 nt
Filed under: uncultured Bilophila sp.
Lineage: Bacteria; Pseudomonadati; Thermodesulfobacteriota; Desulfovibrionia; Desulfovibrionales; Desulfovibrionaceae
Description: Bacterial RNase P class A
Rfam family: Bacterial RNase P class A
About the family: Ribonuclease P (RNase P) is a ubiquitous endoribonuclease, found in archaea, bacteria and eukarya as well as chloroplasts and mitochondria. Its best characterised activity is the generation of mature 5'-ends of tRNAs by cleaving the 5'-leader elements of precursor-tRNAs. Cellular RNase Ps are ribonucleoproteins.
Source: RNAcentral